AGAGUUUGAUCAUGGCUCAGGAUGAACGCUGGCGGCGUGCCUAAUACAUGCAAGUCGAACGCGAGCACUUGUGCUCGAGUGGCGAACGGGUGAGUAAUACAUAAGUAACCUGCCCUAGACAGGGGGAUAACUAUUGGAAACGAUAGCUAAGACCGCAUAGGUACGGACACUGCAUGGUGACCGUAUUAAAAGUGCCUCAAAGCACUGGUAGAGGAUGGACUUAUGGCGCAUUAGCUGGUUGGCGGGGUAACGGCCCACCAAGGCGACGAUGCGUAGCCGACCUGAGAGGGUGACCGGCCACACUGGGACUGAGACACGGCCCAGACUCCUACGGGAGGCAGCAGUAGGGAAUUUUCGGCAAUGGGGGAAACCCUGACCGAGCAACGCCGCGUGAAGGAAGAAGGUUUUCGGAUUGUAAACUUCUGUUAUAAAGGAAGAACGGCGGCUACAGGAAAUGGUAGCCGAGUGACGGUACUUUAUUAGAAAGCCACGGCUAACUACGUGCCAGCAGCCGCGGUAAUUC
Molecule: ribosomal RNA, 523 nt
Filed under: uncultured bacterium
Lineage: Bacteria
Description: bacterial SSU rRNA
Rfam family: Bacterial small subunit ribosomal RNA
Source: RNAcentral